This 430-nucleotide ribosomal RNA is filed under the name Brucella melitensis. RNAcentral describes it as "partial 16S ribosomal RNA". It matches the Rfam family "Bacterial small subunit ribosomal RNA", at positions 355 to 776 of the family's 1533-position model. The record is from RNAcentral. Lineage: Bacteria; Pseudomonadati; Pseudomonadota; Alphaproteobacteria; Hyphomicrobiales; Brucellaceae. RNAcentral also lists the same sequence under 4 other names.
UGGGGAAUAUUGGACAAUGGGCGGAAGCCUGAUCCAGCCAUGCCGCGUGUGUGAAGAAGGCCUUUUGGUUGUAAAGCACUUUAAGCGAGGAGGAGGCUACUUGGAUUAAUACUCUAGGAUAGUGGACGUUACUCGCAGAAUAAGCACCGGCUAACUCUGUGCCAGCAGCCGCGGUAAUACAGAGGGUGCGAGCGUUAAUCGGAUUUACUGGGCGUAAAGCGUGCGUAGGCGGCUUUUUAAGUCGGAUGUGAAAUCCCUGAGCUUAACUUAGGAAUUGCAUUCGAUACUGGGAAGCUAGAGUAUGGGAGAGGAUGGUAGAAUUCCAGGUGUAGCGGUGAAAUGCGUAGAGAUCUGGAGGAAUACCGAUGGCGAAGGCAGCCAUCUGGCCUAAUACUGACGCUGAGGUACGAAAGCAUGGGGAGCAAACAGG